This 392-nucleotide unclassified non-coding RNA is filed under the name soil metagenome. RNAcentral's name for it is "partial contains 5.8S ribosomal RNA, internal transcribed spacer 2, and large subunit ribosomal RNA". The stretch from base 1 to 122 matches the Rfam family "5.8S ribosomal RNA", at positions 35 to 154 of the family's 154-position model. The record is from RNAcentral.
GAUGAAGAACGCAGCGAAAUGCGAUACUUGGUGUGAAUUGCAGAAUCCCGUGAACCAUCGAGUCUUUGAACGCAAGUUGCGCCCGAAGCCAUCAGGUUGAGGGCACGUCUGCCUGGGCGUCACAUAUCGUUGCUCGAUGCCUAUCGCAUUGCGAUAGGACUUAGGGCGAAUGAUGGCUUCCCGUGAGCGUUGUUGCCUCGCGGUUGGUUGAAAAUCGAGUCCUUGGUAGGGUGUGCCAUGAUAGAUGGUGGUCGAGUUAGCACGAGAUCGAUCAUGUGCAUGCUCCCCAAAAUAUGGCCUCUGUGACCCACACGCGUCUUUUGACGCUCAUGAUGAGACCUCAGGUCAGGCGGGGCUACCCGCUGAAUUUAAGCAUAUCAAUAAGCGGAGGA